RNAcentral lists this ribosomal RNA (253 nucleotides) under uncultured bacterium. RNAcentral's name for it is "partial 16S ribosomal RNA". It matches the Rfam family "Bacterial small subunit ribosomal RNA", at positions 524 to 776 of the family's 1533-position model. The record is from RNAcentral.
UACGGAGGGUGCAAGCGUUGCUCGGAAUUACUGGGCGUAAAGGGCGUGUAGGCGGUUUCGUAUGUCUGGCGUGAAAGCCCCGGGCUCACCUCGGGAAGUGCGUCGGAAACUGCGAGACUAGAGUCCCGGAGAGGGAGUUGGAAUUCCAGGUGUAGCGGCGAAGUGCGUAGAUAUCUGGAAGAACACUGGUGGCGAAGGCGGCCUCCUGGACGGUGACUGACGCUGAGACGCGAAAGCGUGGGGAGCAAACAGG